GACGAACGCUGGAGGCGUGCUUAACACAUGCAAGUCGAACGAUGAAAUGGAGCUUGCUCCAUGGGUUAGUGGCGAACGGGUGAGUAACACGUGAAUAACCUGCCCUUAAUUUUGGAAUAACCAGGGAAACCUGGGCUAAUACCGGAUAAGUAAACCUGUGGCAUCACAUGGUUUUGGAAAGUUUUUCGAUUAAGGAUGGAUUCGCGGCCUAUCAGCUUGUUGGUGAGGUAAUGGCUCACCAAGGCGACGACGGGUAGCCGGCCUGAGAGGGUGAACGGCCACACUGGGACUGAGACACGGCCCAGACUCCUACGGGAGGCAGCAGUGGGGAAUAUUGCGCAAUGGACGAAAGUCUGACGCAGCGACGCCUCGUGAGGGACGAAGGUCUUCGGAUUGUAAACCUCUUUCAGCAGGGACGAAGCGAAAGUGACGGUACCUGCAGAAGAAGCACCGGCUAACUAUGUGCCAGCCGCCGCCGUAA
Molecule: ribosomal RNA, 481 nt
Filed under: uncultured bacterium
Lineage: Bacteria
Description: partial 16S ribosomal RNA
Rfam family: Bacterial small subunit ribosomal RNA
Source: RNAcentral